CCUACGGGAGGCAGCAGUGGGGGAUAUUGCACAAUGGGGGGAACCCUGAUGCAGCGAUGCCGCGUGGGUGAAGAAGCGCCUCGGCGCGUAAAGCCCUGUCAGCAGGGAAGAAAAUGACGGUACCUGAAGCAGAAGCCCCGGCUAACUACGUGCCAGCAGCCGCGGUAAUACGGAGGGGGCAAGCGUUAUCCGGAUUUACUGGGUGUAAAGGGGGCGCAGACGGCGAUGCAAGCCAGUAGUGAAAGCCCGGGGCCCAACCCCGGGACUGCUCUUGGAACUGCGUGGCUGGAGUGCAGGAGGGGCAGGCGGAAUGCCUGGUGUAGCGGUGAAAUGCGUAGAGAUCAGGAGGAACACCGGUGGCGAAGGCGGCCUGCUGGACUGCAACUGACGUUGAGGCCCGAAAGCGUGGGGAGCAAACAGGAUUAGAUACCCGGGUAGUC
This 440-nucleotide ribosomal RNA is filed under the name uncultured bacterium. Its description in RNAcentral is "partial 16S ribosomal RNA". It matches the Rfam family "Bacterial small subunit ribosomal RNA", at positions 338 to 795 of the family's 1533-position model. The record is from RNAcentral.